Drosophila sulfurigaster albostrigata is the source of this 367-nucleotide long non-coding RNA. RefSeq lists it as uncharacterized. The transcript is spliced from 2 exons. Lineage: Eukaryota; Metazoa; Arthropoda; Insecta; Diptera; Drosophilidae. The record is from RefSeq and is a predicted model, not a curated record.
ACAUUUAAAAUGGGCAGAAUAAAUUUUAACGGAGUUUUGUUACUGAUGGUCCUUCAAAUAUUCUUGGUGGCUACAACAACUGGAGAUGAAACAUGUGAAUCAGACCGAAAAAUGGAAGAACAGUGCCGCCUUCAUAACUACAAAACUGUUAAACCUUUGCUAGAUUAUUUCAGGCAGGUUAGAAAUGAGAUAGAACAAAGUGAAACUAAGGAAAAGCAGAUAAGUGAAUUAAAUUCUGAUCUUAUGGAAAAAUAUCAUGAAAUUGUAAGAAUUCAUGAAACAUUCGUGAAGGAGGCAGCUCUAUUAAAUGAGUAUAAAACCAAAGUAAUCAAAGGGGAAAACGAUUUGCAAUUGUGUCAAAAUAAAG